Molecule: non-coding RNA, 82 nt
Organism: Syngnathoides biaculeatus (alligator pipefish)
Lineage: Eukaryota; Metazoa; Chordata; Actinopteri; Syngnathiformes; Syngnathidae
Source: the annotation of a RefSeq genome assembly
GCUGUGAUGGCUGAGAGGUUAAGGCGUUAGACUCGAAAUGCAAUGGGGUCUUCCCACGCAGGUUCGAUUCCUGCUUGCAGCA